This 889-nucleotide ribosomal RNA is filed under the name uncultured bacterium. RNAcentral's name for it is "bacterial SSU rRNA". It matches the Rfam family "Bacterial small subunit ribosomal RNA", at positions 505 to 1397 of the family's 1533-position model. The record is from RNAcentral.
GUGCCAGCCGCCGCGGUAAUACGGAAGGUCCGGGCGUUAUCCGGAUUUAUUGGGUUUAAAGGGAGCGCAGGCGGAGGGUUAAGCGUGACGUGAAAUGUAGCCGCUCAACGGCUGAACUGCGUCGCGAACUGGCUUUCUUGAGUGAGUACGACGUCAGCGGAAUUCGUGGUGUAGCGGUGAAAUGCUUAGAUAUCACGAAGAACUCCGAUUGCGAAGGCAGCUGACGAGUCCUUUACUGACGCUAAAGCUCGAAGGUGCGGGUAUCGAACAGGAUUAGAUACCCUGGUAGUCCGCACGGUAAACGAUGGAUGCCCGCUGUUGGCGAUACAAUGUCAGCGGCCAAGGGAAACCGUUAAGCAUCCCACCUGGGGAGUACGCCGGCAACGGUGAAACUCAAAGGAAUUGACGGGGGCCCGCACAAGCGGAGGAACAUGUGGUUUAAUUCGAUGAUACGCGAGGAACCUUACCCGGGCCUGAACUGCAGCAGAACGAUUCAGAGAUGAUGAGGUCCUUCGGGACUGCUGUGGAGGUGCUGCAUGGUUGUCGUCAGCUCGUGCCGUGAGGUGUCGGCUUAAGUGCCAUAACGAGCGCAACCCUUUUCGCCAGUUGCCAUCAGGUGAUGCUGGGCACUCUGGGGACACUGCCACCGUAAGGUGUGAGGAAGGUGGGGAUGACGUCAAAUCAGCACGGCCCUUACGUCCGGGGCUACACACGUGUUACAAUGGGUGGUACAGAGAGUCGAGUGCCGGCAACGUCGCUCCAAUCCUUAAAGCCAUCCUCAGUUCGGAUUGGGGUCUGCAACCCGACCCCAUGAAGCUGGAUUCGCUAGUAAUCGCGCAUCAGCCAUGGCGCGGUGAAUACGUUCCCGGGCCUUGUACACACCGCCCGU